CAGAAAAUAAUUUAAUGUAAAAUAUAAGCUUUGGAUGCUUAAAAUGGUAUUUAUCUUUUCUGA
This 63-nucleotide transfer RNA is filed under the name Diceroprocta semicincta. RNAcentral describes it as "tRNA-Pro". It matches the Rfam family "tRNA". From Rfam's summary of the family: Transfer RNA (tRNA) molecules are approximately 80 nucleotides in length. Their secondary structure includes four short double-helical elements and three loops (D, anti-codon, and T loops). The record is from RNAcentral. Lineage: Eukaryota; Metazoa; Arthropoda; Insecta; Hemiptera; Cicadidae.